RNAcentral lists this long non-coding RNA (1007 nucleotides) under Coturnix japonica (Japanese quail). RNAcentral describes it as "lncRNA (ENSCJPG00005001850.1)". Lineage: Eukaryota; Metazoa; Chordata; Aves; Galliformes; Phasianidae. The record is from RNAcentral.
GGCCGGUUAUGGGUCAGUUAUGGGGCCGGUUAUGGGGCAGUUAUGGGGCAGUUAUGGGUCAGUUAUGGGUCAGUUAUGGGUCAGUUAUGGGGCAGUUAUGGGGCAGUUAUGGGUCAGUUAUGGGUCAGUUAUGGGUCAGUUAUGGGGCAGUUAUGGGGCAGUUAUGGGGCAGUUAUGGGGCCGGUUAUGGGGCAGUUAUGGGGCAGUUAUGGGGCCGGUUAUGGGGCAGUUAUAGGGCAGUUAUGGGGCGGUUAUGGGGCAGUUAUGGGGCCGGUUAUGGGGCCGUAACGGCCUCGGGGGGGCGCUGCGCGUCUCUAUGUGGGUGGUCGUUGAGAUGAAGCCCCAGCCCGGAAGUCCCCCCCCCCUUUCGGAAGUGACGUCAUCACCCCGCGCCGUUCGUACCGUGUCGGGGUUGGCCCGUAGUGGGGGCGGGGUCGCGGCGGCGGCGGCGCCGAGAGCGAAUAACAGCGCCGGGAGCGGCGCCAUGGCGGCCCCUUUAAGAGCCCGAGUCACGUGAGCAACGCGCCGCACACACGUGACCGGAAGUAGAGGGGCGGGGCCUUCGUCUUAAAGGGGCAACGCGGUGGGGCCCACCAAGAAACGGAAUAUUCGAUUUGCGGGAUUUUGGGGGUUUUUUUUGGGUAUAAAAACGGCGUUUUCGGGCAAUUUGGUGCCUUUGGCUCGUCUGAGGUUGGGGGUGGGGUCACGGGGUGGGGGUCACGUGCACAACGGGGCCCUUUAAAUCGGCGCGCUCUGAUGACGUCACUGCGAUGCGCGCGGUGUUGACGUAACUUCCAGGCGCUCGUUGAUGACGUCACUGAGAUGCGCCGUGGGAGCAGGAGGCGGAAGUGAGGGCCGUGUGCAACCCCAACCCCAACCCCAUUACCCCCCAUUGAUCCCCUAUAGCCCCCCAUUACCCCUCAUUAAACCCCUAUUGCCCCCCAUUAUCCCCUAUUUACCCCCAUUGACCCCCUAUAGACCCCCAUUAACCCUCAUUUACCCCCAUA